AGAUUGAACGCUGGCGGCAGGCUUACACAUGCAAGUCGAGCGGGGAAGAGUAGCUUGCUACUUUACCUAGCGGCGGACGGGUGAGUAAUGCUUAGGAAUCUGCCUAUUAGUGGGGGACAACAUCUCGAAAGGGAUGCUAAUACCGCAUACGUCCUACGGGAGAAAGCAGGGGACCUUCGGGCCUUGCGCUAAUAGAUGAGCCUAAGUCGGAUUAGCUAGUUGGUGGGGUAAAGGCCUACCAAGGCGACGAUCUGUAGCGGGUCUGAGAGGAUGAUCCGCCACACUGGGACUGAGACACGGCCCAGACUCCUACGGGAGGCAGCAGUGGGGAAUAUUGGACAAUGGGGGGAACCCUGAUCCAGCCAUGCCGCGUGUGUGAAGAAGGCCUUUUGGUUGUAAAGCACUUUAAGCGAGGAGGAGGCUACCGAGAUUAAUACUCUUGGAUAGUGGACGUUACUCGCAGAAUAAGCACCGGCUAACUCUGUGCCAGCAGCCGCGGUAAUACAGAGGGUGCAAGCGUUAAUCGGAUUUACUGGGCGUAAAGCGCGCGUAGGUGGCCAAUUAAGUCAAAUGUGAAAUCCCCGAGCUUAACUUGGGAAUUGCAUUCGAUACUGGUUGGCUAGAGUAUGGGAGAGGAUGGUAGAAUUCCAGGUGUAGCGGUGAAAUGCGUAGAGAUCUGGAGGAAUACCGAUGGCGAAGGCAGCCAUCUGGCCUAAUACUGACACUGAGGUGCGAAAGCAUGGGGAGCAAACAGGAUUAGAUACC
RNAcentral lists this ribosomal RNA (765 nucleotides) under Acinetobacter lwoffii. RNAcentral describes it as "bacterial SSU rRNA". It matches the Rfam family "Bacterial small subunit ribosomal RNA", at positions 26 to 786 of the family's 1533-position model. Lineage: Bacteria; Pseudomonadati; Pseudomonadota; Gammaproteobacteria; Moraxellales; Moraxellaceae. The record is from RNAcentral.